CAUGGAGGGUGAGAAUCCCGUCCGGCUGACCUUCAGGACGUUUUACGAUACGCUCUCAAAGAGUCGAGUUGUUUGGGAUUGCAGCUCAAAAUGGGAGGUAAAUUUCUCCUAAGGCUAAAUACCGGCGAGAGACCGAUAGCGAACAAGUACCGUGAGGGAAAGAUGAAAAGAAUUUUGAAAAGAAAGUCAAACAGUACGUGAAAUUGUUGAAAGGGAAACGAUUGAAGCCAGUCGUACCGACGGGAAUUCAACUUCUCGAGUGCUAAUCGUGGGUGACGUUGAGCCUCACGGCCCUCGUUGCUUGUGUUGUUGGUGCUUUUGGGGUGUACUUUUCCGUAUGGUAGGUCAGCAUCGAUUUCGAUCGUCAUAAAAUGAUCGGGGGAAUGUAGCUUCGGUCUCGUAUCGGAGUGUUAUAGACCUUGGUAGAUGUGACGAUCGGGAUCGAGGAUUGCAACGAAUACCCUUUGGGCUAUCCGUCUGACCUCUGAAAGCCGCUCGGGUGUCGAAAGCGUGCUUAUGGCUAUUCGAGUUGGCGGUCAACAGGUUAGAACGUGAUUACAUUCGUUAAGGAUGUUGACGUAAUGG
Molecule: ribosomal RNA, 585 nt
Filed under: uncultured Glomus
Lineage: Eukaryota; Fungi; Glomeromycota; Glomeromycetes; Glomerales; Glomeraceae
Description: eukaryotic LSU rRNA
Rfam family: Eukaryotic large subunit ribosomal RNA
Source: RNAcentral